CGGCGUGGAUGAGGCAUGCAAGUCGAACGAAGUAGCUUGCUACUUAGUGGCGAAAGGGUUAGUAAUACAUGAGUAACGUACCUCUUUCCUGGGGAUAACGGUUGGAAACGACCGCUAAUACCGAAUGAGGAGAUCCGGGGUAGCCCGAUAUCUUCAAAGUAGGGGAUCCUUCGGGACCUUACGGGGAGAGAGCGGCUCAUGGGAUAUCAGCUUGUUGGUGUGGUAAAGGCGCACCAAGGCUAAGACGUCUAGGCGGACUGAGAGGUUGACCGCCAACACUGGGACUGA
This 288-nucleotide ribosomal RNA is filed under the name uncultured Chlamydiae bacterium. RNAcentral's name for it is "partial 16S ribosomal RNA". It matches the Rfam family "Bacterial small subunit ribosomal RNA", at positions 40 to 322 of the family's 1533-position model. Lineage: Bacteria; Pseudomonadati; Chlamydiota; Chlamydiia. The record is from RNAcentral.